GUGUUGUAUGAAAGGAGAGAAGGUUAGCACUCCCCUUGAUAAGGAUGGAAGGAGUCCGAGUGGCCGUACAACACAUAAAUGGUUAAAGGCAUUGCCAUCUACUUAGUGGCAUCUAACCAUGUUUGAUU
Rhincodon typus (whale shark) is the source of this 128-nucleotide small nuclear RNA. The record is from RefSeq and is a predicted model, not a curated record. Lineage: Eukaryota; Metazoa; Chordata; Chondrichthyes; Orectolobiformes; Rhincodontidae.